RNAcentral lists this ribosomal RNA (253 nucleotides) under uncultured bacterium. RNAcentral's name for it is "partial 16S ribosomal RNA". It matches the Rfam family "Bacterial small subunit ribosomal RNA", at positions 524 to 776 of the family's 1533-position model. The record is from RNAcentral.
GACAGAGGGUGCAAACGUUGUUCGGAAUUACUGAGCGUAAAGCGCGUGUAGGCGGCCGCGCAAGUCGGGCGUGAAAUCCCACGGCUCAACCGUGGAAGUGCACUCGAAACUGCGCAGCUUAAGUCCUGGAGAAGAAGGUGGAAUGCUUGGUGUAGAGGUGAAAUUCGUAGAUAUCAAGCGGAACACCGAUGGCGAAGGCGGCCUUCUGGACAGUGACUGACGCUGAGACGCGAAAGCGUGGGGAGCAAACAGG